AUAGGUAACAUCUGAAAAUAUCACUGCGCCAUUACCGGUUAAAAGUUCUUUUUCAGAAUAACCUCAGAGUGGCAAAUAAUGCUUAUUAGCGAACAAGAAGAAUUAUCCGAUAAAAAAUGCCGACAUAUUGUCGGCAUUCAAAUUU
RNAcentral lists this small RNA (145 nucleotides) under uncultured Phytobacter sp. RNAcentral's name for it is "Enterobacterial sRNA STnc430". It matches the Rfam family "Enterobacterial sRNA STnc430", at positions 15 to 159 of the family's 162-position model. The record is from RNAcentral. Lineage: Bacteria; Pseudomonadati; Pseudomonadota; Gammaproteobacteria; Enterobacterales; Enterobacteriaceae.